This is a non-coding RNA of Polypterus senegalus (gray bichir), 3180 nucleotides long. NCBI's taxonomy places the organism in Eukaryota, Metazoa, Chordata, Cladistia, Polypteriformes, Polypteridae. The record is from the annotation of a RefSeq genome assembly.
UGCUAUUUCGACGUUAACUUUCUCUUCUGUCAUUUCCUUUAUAAUGGCCUUGUUGUUUUUACUCUUUCUCAUCGGAGACGUUGAACGAAACAAAAUGCAUGUGUGGUCCCUAGAGGUUGAGGUGACUGUAAAUGCUUCGCUCCAUUGUGACGUGUUGCUGCCCUGCAUUUUCAAGGCGGACACAGAUCAAGUGGAUCUCACUCACCUCCUUGUAACUUGGGAAUACAACAGCACUGAGCUGAUAAAGUAUAAAAAGAACGAUGUAAAAAACAACUCCAGGGCAGUUCUACUGGAAAGUAACCUCCUGAACAGAGAUGCUUCCCUUCUCCUCAAGAAUGUUACCAUUAAAGAUAAAGGAAUAUAUACCUGUAACGUUGUGUAUUCUCCACACCAGAUUAAAAAGAAUGUUAGUCUUAAAGUUAUAGCAACUCCUAGAAUUUCUGUGAGAAGUAACCUGGCUAAGAUGAACAUGGAAAAUACCCUGCCUUGCACUGCAGAUGGUUUUUACCCCAGCAGUAUUAAUAUUGCAUGGUUCAGAGAUUCAGAAAGGAUCAAACAAGAGACGAGCCUUGCGCCAGAAGAAAAAGCAGAUGGCACCUUCAGUUUAGUGAGCUAUUUAACAUACAAGACACAAAGCAGUGAUGCUGGUGUGAAUUUCUCCUGUCAAGCACAACAUGAGUCUCAGAAUGAGCCAUUGAUAUUCACAUUUCAACUGCAGUUUUACAAACGUCCUAAUGUGACCAUCACUCCUACAGCUGUAGAAACAGGCAAGGAAGAGACGGUCGCUUGCAUUGUGGAUGGCCAUUUCCCGGAUGAUGUAAAUGUGACCUGGAAGAAGAAUGGCGAGGUACAGGCAAAGGCAGAGUGGAAAAAUGAUGGCACCUUUAUUACAAGAGAGUUUUACUUGCUGAAAACUGAUAAUAAGGAUGACAUAUUUUUUUGUGAAGUGGCACAGGAAGGAUUUCAUGAGUCAAUUAUUCAACAAGUUAUAAUAACAGAUCCCAUUGAACAAAAGGGGAAAACCACAAUGAUUUUGAUUCUAGCACCAGUCGUGAUCAUUUCCCUGCUACUAACUGUUCUAGCUGGUCUGAGUUUUCGUCUGAUUUACAAAAAAUCUCCACCAGUGCUCUCUGAUAUUUCAAUGGAGUCCCCUAAUAAGCUGAACAUUAAGGCCAGUCACUUCUACCCCCAAAAAAUUGAGAUCAAAUGGUUUGAAGAUUUGUCAGAAAAUAGCAGUUGUACAAUAGAAGGUGACACCGGGUACUUCUCUACUUCUAGCUCAUGUUGUUUCACUUCCAAAAUUCAUUAUAAUUAUCCAGUCUCAGUAAAGGUGCGCCAUGAGUCAUCGGAGAAGCCGCUGAUUAAGAAAUUAGAACAAAGGAGGCAAGGCUCGCCUUCAGAUAGAAUCCCUGCUGUCUGUGAGAUCGAAGUUACUCACGUUAGGGAGACUGGUAUCUGCAUACUGAGCUGCAUGAUAACAAGUUUUACACAUCCACCUGUGGUGUCCUGGAUUCAAAGACGGCUUUCCAGUGAAGAAACUAUCACAAGUGGAGAAGAGUUUUGGAGUCCUGCAAUUCACAACUCAGAUCCAGUGAAGCAAAAUGAUACCUUUUUUUACAUGAUAUCUAGAGCCGCAUUCUUUCACACCCAAGUGAAAAACAAUUUUCGUUUUAUUUGCAAAGUAGAGCAUGACACAUUGGACCAACCGAUUGAAAGAUGUGCACAAAAUAUAGAGUGAAGUGUGAAGAGUGAAGCUUCACUCUGUCACAUGGGUUUUGGCAGUGUGUAAAAGCCAGUUGCCUUAUGGGCCAAACCUGUGGGGUUUGCAAAAGGGCAAAACUACAAAUGUCAUUGAUGUAAUUGCCAUAUUUAUUGUAAUCAAUAAUGGAGUGUACUUCAAAUAGAGACUUACACUUACAGUGUACAGAACAACAGAUACUGUAUGUCAGGUACUGAGGACAGACACAAUUACUGCUUUUAUUGGAGACUUUGCAUAGCUUGUUGCCAAAGAGGUAUGUGAAAUGUGUGUAAUAAUGAGCAGGUAGUAUUGUGUACUGCAGUUAUGUGAAUGAGGACCUCAGAUCUGAUUAAGGACGGUUAAAUUCUGAUGUGAAUUGACUAGGUAUUUGGAUAUGGGACUAUUCAAAUUUCUAAGGUAAAUAGAUAUUUUUAAACAAUUAUUAAAGGAUGAAAAACAUGCCUGUCCACCUGAACUCCAGAACAUGCACUGAAGAAUCCCAUUCAUCUCAUGCCUUGGUAAUAGUAAUGAUCACUGAUUCAACCAAACGUAAUUAGACUCAGAUCUGAUAGCUUAGAUGGCCAUAGCAUAGAGAAUUUAAUUGUCCUGGUCAUAAAACAGUAUAGCUGAUAUGUUUUAGUCAUGGUUCUUUAACUUUAGAAAGGAGAAGUGCCUGAUGACUAGAAAGUUGCAAACAUGACUCAGGUCUUCAAGAAGGAAGACAAAUGGACUCUGUACAGAUCAAUGUGUUACUUCUGUACCAUGAAAAAUUGUGGAAACUAAUAACGAAUAAGUCAGAAAGGUACAUAUAUGAAAAAUGACAUAAUAAAUUGGGUUUUUUGAGUGGAAGAUCUUGCCAAACCAAUCUGCAACUGCAAUACUUGACCAAAAUCAAUACAUACAACAGAAUUUACAUUGACUUUCAAAAAACCCUUGAUCUCGUCCAACACCAAAGUUUAAUUUUGAAACUAGAAGCUGUAGGCAUCAGAGGCAAUCUGCAAAAUGGGAUUUCAAGUUGAUUAAAUGACAGGAGACAACGAGUACAAGUAAGAGGAGAGUGAGGUCAUCUGUGGAAUCGCUCAAGGGGUCUGACCUUGGACCAUAACUUUUUCUGAUUUAAAUUAAUGACAUUGAUUCUGGUAUAGUUAGUAAACUUGUCAAACUUGCAAAUGACACUAAGCUUGGACGAAUUACAGUGCACUAAGUAGCCAGCAACAACAAUUUAUGAGGACUUGGACAAACUUCAGAACUGAUCAAAUUCUUGGAAAAUGCAGUUUAACGUAGAAUAGUAAAAACCUUUAGGCAAAAUUCUAAAUAAAAGAUAGGAGACACUGAUCUACUGAAAGCAACCUCUGAAAAGAAUUUAGAUGUUUAUGUUGACACAAUGCAAGUCAUCUAAGGAAUGCACAGAAGCAGAUAAAAAGGCAAAAAAAAAAAAAAAA